This 525-nucleotide ribosomal RNA is filed under the name Trichoderma asperellum. RNAcentral describes it as "eukaryotic LSU rRNA". The stretch from base 148 to 301 matches the Rfam family "5.8S ribosomal RNA". Lineage: Eukaryota; Fungi; Ascomycota; Sordariomycetes; Hypocreales; Hypocreaceae. The record is from RNAcentral.
CCAAACUGUUGCCUCGGCGGGGUCACGCCCCGGGUGCGUCGCAGCCCCGGAACCAGGCGCCCGCCGGAGGAACCAACCAAACUCUUUCUGUAGUCCCCUCGCGGACGUAUUUCUUACAGCUCUGAGCAAAAAUUCAAAAUGAAUCAAAACUUUCAACAACGGAUCUCUUGGUUCUGGCAUCGAUGAAGAACGCAGCGAAAUGCGAUAAGUAAUGUGAAUUGCAGAAUUCAGUGAAUCAUCGAAUCUUUGAACGCACAUUGCGCCCGCCAGUAUUCUGGCGGGCAUGCCUGUCCGAGCGUCAUUUCAACCCUCGAACCCCUCCGGGGGAUCGGCGUUGGGGAUCGGGACCCCUCACACGGGUGCCGGCCCCGAAAUACAGUGGCGGUCUCGCCGCAGCCUCUCCUGCGCAGUAGUUUGCACAACUCGCACCGGGAGCGCGGCGCGUCCACGUCCGUAAAACACCCAACUUUCUGAAAUGUUGACCUCGGAUCAGGUAGGAAUACCCGCUGAACUUAAGCAUAUCAA